UUACCAAACCCAACCAAACUCAGAAUACCGCAAAGUUAGAGACUGGCAGUGAGACUGCGGGGGAUAAGCUCCGUAGUCGAGAGGGAAAGAGCCCAGACCGCCGUCUAAGGUCCCAAAGUUAACACUAAGUGGCAAAGGAUGUUGAAGUGCCGAGACAACUAGGAGGUUCGCUUAGAAGCAGCUAUCCUUAAAAGAGUGCGUAAUAGCUCACUAGUCGAGUGCUUCUGCGCCGAAAAUGAACGGGACUAAGUGUUACACCGAAGACGCGGCAAGGAAUACUUUUGUAUUCCUUGGGUAGGAGAGCGU
RNAcentral lists this ribosomal RNA (306 nucleotides) under uncultured Symbiodinium. RNAcentral describes it as "partial Bacterial large subunit ribosomal RNA". It matches the Rfam family "Bacterial large subunit ribosomal RNA", at positions 936 to 1239 of the family's 2925-position model. The record is from RNAcentral. Lineage: Eukaryota; Dinophyceae; Suessiales; Symbiodiniaceae.